Molecule: non-coding RNA, 115 nt
Organism: Triticum urartu
Lineage: Eukaryota; Viridiplantae; Streptophyta; Magnoliopsida; Poales; Poaceae
Source: Rfam
CUUGUACUCCCUCCGUCCAAAAAUACUUGUCAUUGAAAUGGAUGUAUCUAGAUGUAUUUCAGUUGUAGACACAUCCAUUUUGAUGACAAGUAAUUCCGGACGGAGGGAGUACUUG